UAGAGUUUGAUCCUGGCUCAGGAUGAACGCCAGCUACAGGCUUAACACAUGCAAGCCGCGGGGCAACGCAGUGGCAGCAAUGUCACGGGCGGCGACCGGCGAAUGGGUGAGUAACGCGUAUCCGACCUGCCCCGCACACGGGCACAGCCUCGCGAAAGCGAGAUUAAUGCCCGAUGGCCCUGCGCUGCCGCAUGACGGCGCAGGUAAAGGACGCAAGUCCGGUGCGGGAUGGGGAUGCGUCCGAUUAGCAUGCCGGCGGGGCAACGGCCCACCGGUGCUACGAUCGGUAGGGGUUCUGAGAGGAAGGUCCCCCACAUUGGAACUGAGACACGGUCCAAACUCCUACGGGAGGCAGCAGUGAGGAAUAUUGGUCAAUGGGCGAGAGCCUGAACCAGCCAAGUAGCGUGCAGGAUGACGGCCCUAUGGGUUGUAAACUGCUUUUGGAGGGGAAUAAAGUGGCGUACGUGUACGCCUUUGUAUGUACCCUCAGAAUAAGGACCGGCUAAUUCCGUGCCAGCAGCCGCGGUAAUACGGAAGGUCCGGGCGUUAUCCGGAUUUAUUGGGUUUAAAGGGAGCGCAGGCCGCCGAUUAAGCGUGACGUGAAAUGUCCCGGCUCAACCGGGGAGUUGCGUCGCGAACUGGUUGGCUUGAGUGCGGACGAGGUAUGCGGAAUUCGUGGUGUAGCGGUGAAAUGCUUAGAUAUCACGAAGAACCCCGAUUGCGAAGGCAGCGUACCAGGCCGUAACUGACGCUAAUGCUCGAAGGUGCGGGUAUCGAACAGGAUUAGAUACCCUGGUAGUCCGCACGGUAAACGAUGGAUGCCC
RNAcentral lists this ribosomal RNA (824 nucleotides) under uncultured bacterium. Its description in RNAcentral is "bacterial SSU rRNA". It matches the Rfam family "Bacterial small subunit ribosomal RNA", at positions 1 to 818 of the family's 1533-position model. The record is from RNAcentral.